Molecule: long non-coding RNA, 1203 nt
Organism: Candoia aspera
Lineage: Eukaryota; Metazoa; Chordata; Lepidosauria; Squamata; Candoiidae
Exons: 2
Source: RefSeq, a predicted model, not a curated record
CCAAAGGAUGAAACACUUGAUUGGGGAUCACUGUUGCAUUCUCUAUUAAAAAGGAAAAGAUGAGAAUUGACAUCAUUUUUGAAAGAAUGUCAUCCGGGGAAGAUGAUGCAGCAAAAGCUGAAAUCACUGUGACCUCUACAGAUCCCAGCUGCAGUGCAAGGCCCGUGAAGAAGUUCUCAAAGUCAAGCUAUGGCCAGCAGGAAUCAAAUACCUUCACUGUUUCCUGUUAUGUUUCCUGAAGAUGUAUUAGCAUAUAUUUCUGCUUGGAUUAAAAGGCGGGCCACCACCUUUGCCCCUUGACAAGCUGAGACCUGCAAAGUUUGAAGCAAGCACAGUGCCUCCACACAGCAGUCGGUGAAGUUUGAGACACACAGUUGCAAGGGCCUGAUCAAGGAUACCGUCACCCUGGAGACAUUCUGAAAUACAGAGUAUGACAGUUGGCAAUUAACAGGGAUAGCUUUACAAAUUACCAAACAGCUAUGAACACCAAGCCAAUGGAAGGGAUAAAACAGCAAUAUUUAAUAAAUGGGUCUUACUCUUCCAUUUACUGUAAUGGUCAAGAAAAUGCUCAACAUCCUACAGGUGAUUGUUAGCUACUUAUUCAUUUACAGGACAUUGAUUUCCCCCACUGAAGAGCAGGGGGGAGCUAUCAAAACGCCCAUGGCAAUCAGCCAAAGGCAAGAAUCUCGUUCGAGAAUUCUGGAAAGAGAAUCACAUGAGAUACUUAAGAAGUCGAUCUAAGAUCUUGUACUGGCACCGAAGAGGAGAAUUGCUUCUUCGACUAACCCUCUGAUGCGUGACUUGCAAGCUCCAGUCAUCCGUUCCGUUUCUACCAGUACAAUCUGAAAGGGGCAAUAAUCCUAGAAGACAGCAGAGAACGAUAUUAUCAGAUGUCUUAUCAUCCCUCAAGCAUCGUUCCUUCUUGGGAAGAUAAAAAAUUCAUUUUGCAAAAGAGAAAAUAAUUUCCUCCCCAUGCUCUUUGGCAUUCCAAAGCUUCCCGGGGAUAUCCCCAAAAUGGUUUUGAAGGAUUCUUACCAGUUUCAUUGUCUGCCACAGCAAGAGAGAAAAUAUCUGCCUGACUGUUGGUCAAAGAAGCAGUGACAGUUGUCCCAGACAUGUAGAUAAGUGAAGGUUGGAAAUCUAAAGACACAAAUCAGGAUCAUUUUUUGUAUUAGUAUUAUCACUCAUUAAACAUCUGGGAAA